GAGGUUGCAGUGCACUGAGAUCAUACCACUGCACUCCAGCCUGUGCAACAGAGUGAGACUCUGUCUCAAAAAAAAAAAAAAGAAGGUGGUUUUAUAAUCAGCUAUAAAACUCUAAAAGGUGCUCUUGAAUGCAGGUUUCUGCUAACUUUGGAGAUUGUGACAUUAGAAUAGAGGAAAAACUUUCGGGACUCAUGGAGAGCUGAAAUGUUCAUGAAUAUCAAGCAGAACAGGAAUUAACUGCAUGGACUGAAGUAAUCUUUUUGACUUUUUGCUUAAAACGUUGUUGAUCUUUUGUUUUGUUUUUUCAGAGUCAAGGAAACUUUUCUUUUGAGCUAUUGACAGCUUUUAACAAGUUAUUGUACUCCUAUGAACAAAAUUUGGAGCAUAUUCAUUUCUCUCUACCUGAUUUCUCCAGAAUUUGGCAACUGUUUGACAUGAGGAUUCUCAACCUGCUAAUAAUGAGCUACCUAUCUAGGGUAGCUAUUGGGACCUACCUAUCUAGGAAUAAACCAUCCUAGCCAUGAGAGACCCGAUGAAACCUCAGACCAGAGACUCAUUUUCUUCUAAAAUGCUUUCUCCAAAAGAUUUUUAAAAAGAAAAGGGGGAAAUGUGAAAGGAAACUGUCUUGGGCCCCCCAAAAUCAUGAAGCUAAAGAGAAAAGUCAAGCUGGGAACGGCUUAGGGCAAACCUGUCUCCCGUUCUAUUCAAAGUCACCCCUCUGCUUACUGAGAUAGAUGCAUAUCUAAUUGCCUCCUUUGGAGAGGCUUAUCAGAAACUCAAAAGAAUGCAACCAUUUGUCUCUCACCCACCUGUGACCUGGAAGCCCCCUCCCUGCUUGAGUUGUCCCACCUUACCAGACUGAACCAAUGUUCGUCUUACAUAUGUUGAUUGAUGUCUCAUGUCUCCCUCAAACGUGUAAAACCAAACUAUGCUCUGACCACCUCGGCACAUGUCACCAGGACCUUCUGAGGCUGUGUCAUGGACGCGAGUCCUCAAACUUCGCAAAAUAAACUCUCUAAAUGAACUGAGACCUGUCUGAGAUAUUCGGGGUUCACAGUUUGCUGUCUCUCUUCACUAGGAGAGUUGUUCCGUGAAGGCCGGGAUCUCUUUUACUGAGUGAUGUAUUCCAAGUGCCUGGAGCAAUGUCUGGCAUGUAGAAGGAAUUCCGUACGUGCAUUAAAUUAAUGAACUAGCCUCC
RNAcentral lists this long non-coding RNA (1198 nucleotides) under Homo sapiens (human). RNAcentral describes it as "HSALNT0066975". Lineage: Eukaryota; Metazoa; Chordata; Mammalia; Primates; Hominidae. The record is from RNAcentral.